This 523-nucleotide ribosomal RNA is filed under the name uncultured bacterium. RNAcentral's name for it is "bacterial SSU rRNA". It matches the Rfam family "Bacterial small subunit ribosomal RNA", at positions 383 to 902 of the family's 1533-position model. The record is from RNAcentral.
CUGAUGGAGCAUACUACGUGAAGGAGGAAGGUCUACGGAUUGUAAACUUCUGUUAGCGCGGAAGAAGGGCUGAGCGCAAGUUCAGUUUUGACGGUACGCGCAGAGAAAGCCACGACUAACUACGUGCCAGCAGUCGCGGUAAGACGUAGGUGGCGAACGUUAUCCGGAAUCAUUGGGCGUAAAGGGUGCGUAGAUGGCAUAAUAAGUUAUUAGUGGGAAAUCGAGGCUCAACCUCGUGGAAGCUGGUAAUACUGUUUUGCUUGAGUGCAGGAGAGGUUAACGGAACUCCAUGUGGAGCGGUAAAAUGCGUAGAUAUAUGGAAGAACAUCAAUAACGGCGAAGGCAGUUAACUAUUCUGUUACUGACAUUGAGGCACGAAAGCGUGGGGAGCAAAACGGAUUAGAUACCCGUGUAGUCCACGCCCUAAACGAUGAGUACUAGGUAUUGGGAACUUGAUUCUCAGUGCCGCUAGGUAACCCGGUAAGUACUCCGCCUGGGUAGUACGCUCGCAAGAGUGAAACUC